UCAUCAUUGAAUUGUCUUUCU
Caenorhabditis elegans is the source of this 21-nucleotide non-coding RNA. The record is from Ensembl. Lineage: Eukaryota; Metazoa; Nematoda; Chromadorea; Rhabditida; Rhabditidae.